Molecule: ribosomal RNA, 327 nt
Filed under: uncultured Lachnospiraceae bacterium
Lineage: Bacteria; Bacillati; Bacillota; Clostridia; Lachnospirales; Lachnospiraceae
Description: partial 16S ribosomal RNA
Source: RNAcentral
GGAGUUUGGGCCGUGUCUCAGUCCCAAUGUGGCCGUACACCCUCUCAGGCCGGCUACUGAUCGUUGCCUUGGUGGGCCGUUACCUCGCCAACUAGCUAAUCAAACGCGGGUCCAUCUAUAAGCGAAAUUCUUUUCACACUGUAUCAUGCGAUACUGGUGUGCUUAUCGUGUAUUAGCAGUCAUUUCUAACUGUUGUUCACGUCUUAUAGGCAGGUUACCCACGCGUUACUCACCCGUCCGCCACUAGAAUUUCUAAACAUCCAGCGAACCUUCAGUCUAGAGUUCCCGUUCGACUUGCAUGUGUUAAGCACGCCGCCAGCGUUCAUC